UACGUAGGGUGCAAGCGUUAAUCGGAAUUACUGGGCGUAAAGCGUGCGCAGGCGGUGAUGUAAGACAGAUGUGAAACCCCCGGGCUUAACCUGGGAACUGCGCUUGUAACUGGCAAGCUAGAGUGUGGCAGAGGGGGGUGGAAUUCCACGUGUAGCAGUGAAAUGCGUAGAGAUGUGGAGGAACACCGAUGGCGAAGGCAGCCCCCUGGGCUAACACUGACGCUCAUGCACGAAAGCGUGGGGAGCAAACAGG
RNAcentral lists this ribosomal RNA (253 nucleotides) under uncultured bacterium. RNAcentral describes it as "partial 16S ribosomal RNA". It matches the Rfam family "Bacterial small subunit ribosomal RNA", at positions 524 to 776 of the family's 1533-position model. The record is from RNAcentral.